This is a non-coding RNA of Paramuricea clavata, 499 nucleotides long. The record is from the annotation of a GenBank genome assembly. NCBI's taxonomy places the organism in Eukaryota, Metazoa, Cnidaria, Anthozoa, Malacalcyonacea, Plexauridae.
GGAAGCACUCACGGACUCACCGGAAAACAUUCAUAUUGAAAACAUUCCAAAUGUGUCGUCUUGAAUUUCGUCUUGUCACUCUAUUAAUUAAAUUGUCAAUGAUUUCAAUUCAAAGCAAACGUCAAGAAGGAAAAGCAGGAAUUAAUUCUUUGCAGUACUGAGUAUGGAUCGUCCUGUAAACUCAUAUUACUCACCCGUCCCAGACGUUAAUAUUGUGAAUGAAGAUACAAACCAACAAACACCGUUGCUAUAUAGUGUCGAUUCACAAAGCGUUAUCAAAGUAUAUAAGAAACGUUGGUAUAUAUUGGCGAUGUUUUUCUUGCUUUGUGUUGGUCAAGGCAUUUUGUAUAACACUUGGUCUCCGAUACAGAGUACAGCAAGAGCUGUUUAUAAAUGGGAUAGUUUUAUGAUUGAUCUGAUGCCUGCAUUAGGAUGUAUUGGACCAUGUUUUACUAUUGUACCUCUGGGAUGGUUGAUGGAUGUUAAAGGUAUGUAGUAG